AACUGAUAGAGUUAUCCAGUAUAAAUAAAGUUAGUUGAGUUUAGAUUUUCUCUUGUAGUAACACUGGAUCAAUAAGAGAUGAUCCUAACUGAACCUCUAGGAAGAACAGUUUAGAACUGAUAGAGUUAUCCAGUAUAAAUAAAGUGAGUUUAGUUUAGGUUUCCUCCUGUAGUAAUACUGGAUCAAUAAGAGAUGAUCCUUACUGGACCUCUAGGAAGAACAGUUUAGAACUGAUAGAGUUAUCCAGUAUAAAUAAAGUUAGUUGAGUUUAGAUUUUCUCUUGUAGUAACACUGGAUCAAUAAGAGAUGAUCCUAACUGAACCUCUAGGAAGAACAGUUUAGAACUGAUAGAGUUAUCCAGUAUAAAUAAAGUGAGUUUAGUUUAGGUUUCCUCCUGUAGUAAUACUGGAUCAAUAAGAG
Non-coding RNA from Paramuricea clavata, 420 nucleotides. Lineage: Eukaryota; Metazoa; Cnidaria; Anthozoa; Malacalcyonacea; Plexauridae. The record is from the annotation of a GenBank genome assembly.